UGGUAUUCACGGAAAACGAAAGGAGGACUCUUAACCUCGCUAAAAUAGUACAGUUGCAAGGUUAUAUAGACCCUCAUGUUAGUGCUCCGGUAUGACAUGAAUCUAUAUAAGCAGGUGAGACUUCUUAGAGGGAAUGGCACAUUACAAAAAGUGCACGAGGGACAGCAAUAACAGGUCUGUGAUGCCCUAAGAUAUCAGGGGCCGCACGCGUGCUACAAUGACGAUGCAAGUGAGCAUGAUUUACCUGGUCCGAAAGGAUUGGGAAACCUGUUUAAUCAUCGUCGUGACUGGGAUUGGGGUUUGUAAUUAUCCCCCAUGAACGAGGAAUUCCUAGUAAGCACAAGUCAUAAGCUUGUGCUGAUUACGUCCCUGCCCUUUGUACACACCGCCCGUCGCUACUACCGAUUGAAUGGUUUAGCAAGGUUAUUGGAUUGGCUUUUCACGGUUCGCGCCGCUUAAAGCUGAGAAGAUGACCGAACUUGAUCAUUUAUAGGAAGUAAACGUCAUAACAAGGUUUCCGUAGGUGAACCUGCGGAAGGAUCAUUAUCGAAUUCCUAUCUAUCUUGGCUUUUAGCUUUACCGCUAAUAGUCAAUCACUUCAAUACUAUUUAAAAUGAGUAUUGUCGUUCCGGUACCGAUCGUUGUCUGAGGCUAGGUUCUAUGUAUGGUAGAUCUAGGUGGUAGUAGGUCUACAUAGGCAAGGAUCAUUUUAUGUUUCCCUCAGUACAGCAUUGCCACUAUGCCUAAUGCCAUUUCUUAUUGGCCAACAACAAAUAUAUCCGAUAACGAACGAUGACCUAUCUGUUGCCACGCCU
RNAcentral lists this ribosomal RNA (815 nucleotides) under Thaparocleidus gomtius. RNAcentral's name for it is "bacterial SSU rRNA". The stretch from base 1 to 546 matches the Rfam family "Eukaryotic small subunit ribosomal RNA", at positions 1363 to 1831 of the family's 1831-position model. The record is from RNAcentral. Lineage: Eukaryota; Metazoa; Platyhelminthes; Monogenea; Dactylogyridea; Ancylodiscoididae.